Molecule: ribosomal RNA, 281 nt
Filed under: uncultured bacterium
Lineage: Bacteria
Description: partial 16S ribosomal RNA
Rfam family: Bacterial small subunit ribosomal RNA
Source: RNAcentral
CUUGCAAACUGGAGAUGGCGACCGGCGCACGGGUGAGUAACACGUAUCCAACCUGCCGAUAACUCGGGGAUAGCCUUUCGAAAGAAAGAUUAAUACCCGAUGGCAUAAUAGAACCGCAUGGUUUGAUUAUUAAAGAAUUUCGGUUAUCGAUGGGGAUGCGUUCCAUUAGGCAGUUGGUGGGGUAACGGCCCACCAAACCUUCGAUGGAUAGGGGUUCUGAGAGGAAGGUCCCCCACAUUGGAACUGAGACACGGUCCAAACUCCUACGGGAGGCCAGCAUG